GCUGGGCGUGGUGGUGGGGGCCUGUAAUCCCAGCUACUUGGGAGGCUGAGGCAGGAGAAUCGCUUGAACCCAGGAGGCUGAGGCUGCAGUGAGCAGAGAUUGCACCACUGUGCUCCAGCCUGGGCAAUAGAGCGAGACUCUGUCUCAU
Molecule: unclassified non-coding RNA, 148 nt
Organism: Macaca fascicularis (crab-eating macaque)
Lineage: Eukaryota; Metazoa; Chordata; Mammalia; Primates; Cercopithecidae
Rfam family: Metazoan signal recognition particle RNA
About the family: The signal recognition particle (SRP) is a universally conserved ribonucleoprotein. It is involved in the co-translational targeting of proteins to membranes.
Source: Ensembl